Molecule: long non-coding RNA, 1692 nt
Filed under: Homo sapiens (human)
Lineage: Eukaryota; Metazoa; Chordata; Mammalia; Primates; Hominidae
Description: non-protein coding lnc-RPIA-1:8
Source: RNAcentral
CUGCAUUGCUUGUUGUUGCGCUUCGGAGGCGGCGAUCCCCGAAGGCGAGCUGAAAUACGGCUGGAGCGUUCCCAGGCUACAGUUUGUAGCCGACGAUUGUGGAAGACUAGGAGCCGGAGAGGUGGCCCACCCUCAGGGAGCGCUUGUGCUCGGAGGGCUUCUCAUUUCCCCAAUACCACAUUAAAUCGUCUCAUCUGAGGAGGAUCCACAGAGCUGUCUUCUAUGGUAAUCUGGAGAAACUGGAGUACCUUCUGCUCACGUAUCAUGACACCAAUGAGAGAGACAAGGAGGAAAGCUUACCCUGAAAGAAGCAGAUCCCAGUUCAAAAGUAGCCAUAAGAAGGAAGGAUUCACCACCUCCAGGAAAAGUGUCUUCUCAGAAACAACCAGCUGAGAAGGCUGCAAGUGACGAGAAAGAUUCUGUUUCGAAUAUAGCCACAGAAAUAAAGGAGGGACCAAUAUCUGGGACAGUGUCUUCUCAGAAACAACCAGCUGAGAAGGCUGCAAGUGACGAGAAAGAUUCUGUUUCAAAUAUAGCCACAGAAAUAAAGGAUGGACAACAAUCUGGGAGACAUAAUUUUGCAAAGCAGAUUUAAUGUCAUGUUCAGCCAAGAUAGACAAGAACUUCUCUUCCCCGAAUAAAUCAGCGGGGGACUCUUUGAAGCUGCACAUUCUGAUUCAGCAGGCCUGAGAUUCUACAUUUGUAGUAAGUUCUCAGGUGACACUGAUGCUGCUGGUCUUCGACAUGAACUUUGCAGUAAGAUUAUAGACUUCCAUACAUUGAAAUUGGGAAGAAGAAAGGUUGGAGAGCCAUUAAAGACAUAAGGAGUCAGGGGACAGCAUAAUUUUGCUUUAAUUCUACAGCAUGUUUUCACCAAGGGUGGAAGGAGAAAGAGAUGAAGUAUAGAUUUUACAGACGUCACAUCGUAUUGCUAAAAACAGAUGGAGAAAUGAUUGUAAAAACCCAUAAACGCUGUAGAACGAGAACUAAGGAGACCAUUGAUGUAGCAAUGACUUUCCUCAAGGAAGAGGAUUGUCAGGCAGGAAGGAGGGAAAAUAAGAAGUUAUUUAUGUAAUUUUGGGAUUUCUUCUAAGGAAACCUGAGUUCAGUUGCAUAUUCGAACAUUUUCCUAAAAGAAGGUUUGAUUUUGGCUGCUUUAGGAACCAGUGGAAGCAGGAAGGAGUACUAGAACUGGGACAAGCCACAGUGACUCAUUACUCCUCUUUGUUACUGUUGGGCAUCAGAGAUAUACAUUUUGUUUAUAUUAGUUAUUCAAAUGAGAUAAACAUGAAUAUGCAUAUAUUGGCUUUGCUUUUCAAUUAGCUAACUUUUGGAUAAAAAUAGCAAUUUAAUGAAAAUGCUUUAGAGAAUAACAUGAUAUUUUAAACCAGACUAUUUUAGAAAGAAAAUAAUGGUGAAUUCAUUAAUUGACUUUUAAAAUUCUUAUUUUCAAUGAAUAUUGGAGUGAUUUCCAAAUGUAAAAGGUUAUUCAUAUCUAAUGCUUGUAGCAACUUUAUUUUGUAUAAGUAUGUCAAAUUUAAUCAUUUAUUAUACUUUUUGAUAAGGUUUAUGUAUUAUACUUUGUUGCCAUGAGUGGAUGAAGAACCUUUCUGUAGCCUAAACUAGAGGGCACAACAAAUGUAGGCACAUUAUUACACCACAUGGGUUUGAGAAAUAAAGAAUAUUAUAUAC